CCUGGUUGAUCCUGCCAGUAAUCAUAUGCUUGUCUCAAAGAUUAAGCCAUGCAUGUCUAAGUACAUGCCGAAAUAAGGCGAAACCGCGAAUGGCUCAUUAAAUCAGUUAUGGUUCCGCUUAGAUCAGUUUCUUCCUACUUGGCGAUAGUAGCUCGGUGGCAAUUCUAGAGCUAAACUUGCAGUGAGGGCCUGGAGCCCUUUGGUAACGCGGGUGCGCCUUUGAUUAGACCAAGAUCGAUCGGGUUAUUUCGGCCCGUAUGUGAGUGUGGUGGAUGCUCUGGACUUUGUGCUGAUCGCAUGGCCACGAGCCGGCGACGUUUCUUUCAAGUGUCUGCCUUAUCAACUUUCGAUGGUAGGUUACUUGCUUACCAUGGUUGUUACGGGUAACGGAGAAUCAGGGUUCGAUUCCGGAGAGGGAGCCUGAGAAACGGCUACCACAUCCAAGGAAGGCAGCAGGCGCGCAAAUUACCCACUCCCGGCACGGGGAGGUAGUGACGAAAAAUAACAAUACGGGACUCUUUUGAGGCCCCGUAAUUGAAAUGAGUACACUCUAAAUCCUUUAACGAGGAUCAAUUGGAGGGCAAGUCUGGUGCCAGCAGCCGCGGUAAUUCCAGCUCCAAUAGCGUAUACUAAAGCUGCUGCGGUUACAGGCUCGUAGUUGGAGUCUCAGUUGCGCAGCACCGAUGGUGCCAUCAGCCCGUAUGCACGCUCGGGACUGAGAAGCAUGCAUCGCGGUUCUUCUUUCUUGGUGCACUUCAUUGUGCGCCUCGAGAUGGCCGGUGCUUUUACUUUGAAAAAAUUAGAGUGCUCAACGCAGGCGAGUCGCCUGAAUAAACUUGCAUGGAAUAAUAGAACAAGACCUCGUUUCUGUUCUGUUGGUUUUUGGAAUACGAGGUAAUGAUUAAGAGGGACGGACGGGGGCAUUCGUAUUGCGGCGCUAGAGGUGAAAUUCUUGGACCGUCGCAAGACGAACUACUGCGAAAGCAUUUGCCAAGAAUGUUUUCAUUGAUCAAGAACGAAAGUCAGAGGUUCGAAGGCGAUCAGAUACCGCCCUAGUUCUGACCAUAAACGAUGCCAACCAGCGAUCCGCCUGAGUUACUCAAAUGACUCGGCGGGCAGCUUCCGGGAAACCAAAGUAUUUGGGUUCCGGGGGAAGUAUGGUUGCAAAGCUGAAACUUAAAGGAAUUGACGGAAGGGCACCACCAGGAGUGGAGCCUGCGGCUUAAUUUGACUCAACACGGGAAAACUUACCCGGCCCGGACACUGGGAGGAUUGACAGAUUGAGCCCUUUCCCUUGAUUCGGUGGGAAUGUGGGCAUGGCCGUUCUUAGUUGGGGAGCAGAUUUGUGUCUGGUUAAUUCCGAUAACGAACGAGACUCUAGCCUAUUAAAUAGGAGCGGGGUUCCCAGCACCUUACAACCUUCUUAGAGGGACAAGCGGCUCCUAGCCGCACGAAACACAGCAAUAACAGGUCUGUGAUGCCCUUAGAUGUCCGGGGCCGCACGCGCGCUACACGAAGAAGCAGCGGUCUUUAUCCCUGUCUGAAAAGACUGGGUAACCCGUGGAACUUCUUUCGUGAUUGGGAUAGGGGCUUGCAAUUGUUCCCCUUGAACGAGGAAUUCCCAGUAAGCGCGAGUCACAAGCUCGCGUUGAUUACGUCCCGCCCUGACACACCGCCCGUCGCUACUACCGAUUGAAUGAUUUACUGAGGUCUUCGGACCGAUGUCCGGCGCGGCCUUUCGGUUGCGCCGGUCUGUUGGAAAGAUGACCAAACUUGAUCAUUUAGAGGAAGUAAAAGUCGUAACAAGGUUUCCGUAGGUGAACCUGCGGAAG
Molecule: ribosomal RNA, 1832 nt
Filed under: Rhipicephalus microplus (southern cattle tick)
Lineage: Eukaryota; Metazoa; Arthropoda; Arachnida; Ixodida; Ixodidae
Description: SSU rRNA
Rfam family: Eukaryotic small subunit ribosomal RNA
Source: RNAcentral